This 647-nucleotide ribosomal RNA is filed under the name Staphylococcus warneri. Its description in RNAcentral is "bacterial SSU rRNA". It matches the Rfam family "Bacterial small subunit ribosomal RNA", at positions 62 to 691 of the family's 1533-position model. The record is from RNAcentral. Lineage: Bacteria; Bacillati; Bacillota; Bacilli; Caryophanales; Staphylococcaceae.
UCGAGCGAACAGAUAAGGAGCUUGCUCCUUUGACGUUAGCGGCGGACGGGUGAGUAACACGUGGAUAACCUACCUAUAAGACUGGGAUAACUUCGGGAAACCGGAGCUAAUACCGGAUAACAUAUUGAACCGCAUGGUUCAAUAGUGAAAGGCGGCUUUGCUGUCACUUAUAGAUGGAUCCGCGCCGUAUUAGCUAGUUGGUAAGGUGACGGCUUACCAAGGCAACGAUACGUAGCCGACCUGAGAGGGUGAUCGGCCACACUGGAACUGAGACACGGUCCAGACUCCUACGGGAGGCAGCAGUAGGGAAUCUUCCGCAAUGGGCGAAAGCCUGACGGAGCAACGCCGCGUGAGUGAUGAAGGUCUUCGGAUCGUAAAACUCUGUUAUCAGGGAAGAACAAAUGUGUAAGUAACUGUGCACAUCUUGACGGUACCUGAUCAGAAAGCCACGGCUAACUACGUGCCAGCAGCCGCGGUAAUACGUAGGUGGCAAGCGUUAUCCGGAAUUAUUGGGCGUAAAGCGCGCGUAGGCGGUUUUUUAAGUCUGAUGUGAAAGCCCACGGCUCAACCGUGGAGGGUCAUUGGAAACUGGAAAACUUGAGUGCAGAAGAGGAAAGUGGAAUUCCAUGUGUAGCGGUGAAAUGCGC